GAUGAACGCUGGCGGCGUGCCUAAUACAUGCAAGUCGAGCGAACGGACGAGAAGCUUGCUUUUCUGAUGUUAGCGGCGGACGGGUGAGUAACACGUGGAUAACCUACCUAUAAGACUGGGAUAACUUCGGGAAACCGGAGCUAAUACCGGAUAAUAUUUUGAACCGCAUGGUUCAAAAGUGAAAGACGGUCUUGCUGUCACUUAUAGAUGGAUCCGCGCUGCAUUAGCUAGUUGGUAAGGUAACGGCUUACCAAGGCAACGAUGCAUAGCCGACCUGAGAGGGUGAUCGGCCACACUGGAACUGAGACACGGUCCAGACUACUACGGGAGGCAGCAGUAGGGAAUCUUCCGCAAUGGGCGAAAGCCUGACGGAGCAACGCCGCGUGAGUGAUGAAGGUCUUCGGAUCGUAAAACUCUGUUAUUAGGGAAGAACAUAUGUGUAAGUAACUGUGCACAUCUUGACGGUACCUAAUCAGAAAGCCACGGCUAACUACGUG
RNAcentral lists this ribosomal RNA (497 nucleotides) under uncultured bacterium. RNAcentral's name for it is "partial 16S ribosomal RNA". It matches the Rfam family "Bacterial small subunit ribosomal RNA", at positions 28 to 507 of the family's 1533-position model. The record is from RNAcentral.